CCUACGGGAGGCAGCAGUGAGGAAUUUUCCGCAAUGGGCGAAAGCCUGACGGAGCAAUACCGCGUGAGGGAUGAAGGAUUUUGGUCUGUAAACCUCUUUUCUCAAGAAAGAAGUUCUGACGGUACUUGAGGAAUAAGCAUCGGCUAACUCCGUGCCAGCAGCCGCGGUAAUACGGGGGAUGCAAGCGUUAUCCGGAAUGAUUGGGCGUAAAGCGCCUGUAGGUUGUUUAUUAAGUCCGUUGUUAAAGCCUAGGGCUCAACCCUAGAAAAGCAAUGGAAACUAGUAGACUAGAGUAUGGCAGGGGUAGAGGGAAUUUCUAGUGUAGCGGUGAAAUGUGUAGAUAUUAGAAAGAACACCGGUGGCGAAAGCGCUCUACUGGACCAUUACUGACACUCAGAGGCGAAAGCUAGGGUAGCAAAAGGGAUUAGAUACCCCUGUAGUCCUAGCCGUAAACGAUGGAUACUAGAUGUUGUGNAUAUGUACAGUAUACGUAGUACUAACGUACGUUAAGUUACUACCGUCCGUCGGGUAGGUACGUCGUCGCGAAGGUAGGAACGUACAAUAGUAAGUUAGUACGGCGUGAGACGUCGCCGAACGGACGACCGACGAGGGAGGUAGG
RNAcentral lists this ribosomal RNA (619 nucleotides) under uncultured bacterium. Its description in RNAcentral is "bacterial SSU rRNA". The stretch from base 1 to 522 matches the Rfam family "Bacterial small subunit ribosomal RNA", at positions 338 to 873 of the family's 1533-position model. The record is from RNAcentral.